This 1402-nucleotide ribosomal RNA is filed under the name metagenome. Its description in RNAcentral is "SSU rRNA". It matches the Rfam family "Eukaryotic small subunit ribosomal RNA", at positions 374 to 1801 of the family's 1831-position model. The record is from RNAcentral.
GGUUCGAUUCCGGAGAGGGAGCCUGAGAAAUGGCUACCACAUCCAAGGAUGGCAGCAGGCGCGCAAAUUACCCACUCCCAGCUUGGGGAGGUAGUGACGAAAAAUAACAAUGCGGGACUCUAAGAGGCUCCGUAAUUGGAAUGAGUACACCUUAAAUCGUUUAACGAGUAUCAAUUGGAGGGCAAGUCUGGUGCCAGCAGCCGCGGUAAUUCCAGCUCCAAUAGCGUAUAUUAAAGUUGCUGCAGUUAAAAAGCUCGUAGUUGGAUCUGGGGCUUGAGGUCGCUGUCUAUCGUUUCGGCGAUGACGGUGAUGCUCAGCUCUGCUUGCCGGUGACUGUUGCGGUGUUCUUCACUGAGCGCUGUAGCAGCACGGCACGUUUACUUUGAAAAAAUUAGAGUGCUCAAAGCGUGCUUGUCGCUUGAAUAAUGUUGCAUGGAAUAAUGGAAUAGGACCUCGGUUCUAUUUUGUUGGUUUUCGGAGCUUGAGGUAAUGAUUAAGAGGGACGAACGGGGGCAUUCGUAUUGCGGUGUUAGAGGUGAAAUUCUUGGAUCGCCGCAAGACGGACUACUGCGAAAGCAUUUGCCAAGAACGCUUUCAUUAAUUAAGAACGAAAGUCAGAGGUUCGAAGACGAUCAGACACCGUCCUAGUUCUGACCAUAAACGAUGCCGACCAGCGAUCCGUAGUGGUUGCUUUAUGGACCCUACGGGCAGCCUCCGGGAAACCAAAGUAUUUGGGUUCCGGGGGAAGUAUGGUUGCAAAGCUGAAACUUAAAGGAAUUGACGGAAGGGCACACCAGGAGUGGAGCCUGCGGCUUAAUUUGACCCAACACGGGAAAACUCACCCGGUCCGGACACCGUAAGGAUUGACAGACUGAUAGCUCUUUCUUGAUUCGGUGGAUGGUGGUGCAUGGCCGUUCUUAGUUGGUGGAGUGAUUUGUGGUUAAUUCCGAUAACGAACGAGACUCUAGCCUGCUAAGUAGUGUUGCUAUUGUUAUAUGGUUGACACUUCUUAGAGGGACAAGUGGCAUUUAGCCACGCGAAAUUGAGCAAUAACAGGUCUGUGAUGCCCUUAGAUGUCCGGGGCCGCACGCGCGCUACACUGGAGAAGUCAGCGUGUGUUAUCCAAGUCCGAAAGGACUGGGUAAUCCGUUGAACCUUCUUCGUGCUUGGGACUGUGGCUUGGAACUAUUCCACAUGAACGAGGAAUUCCUAGUAAUUGCAAGUCAUAAGCUUGCGUUGAUUACGUCCCUGCCCUUUGUACACACCGCCCGUCGCUACUACCGAUUGAAUGGUUUAGCAAGGUCCUCGGAUCGUGGCCGUAGGGGCACGCAAGUGUUUCUGCGGUUUGCGAGAAGACGACCAAACUUGAUCAUUUAGAGGAAGUAAAAGUCGUAACAAGGUU